AGAUCUUGUCGUCCUUGGGUUCUC
This 24-nucleotide non-coding RNA is filed under the name Arabidopsis thaliana (thale cress). Lineage: Eukaryota; Viridiplantae; Streptophyta; Magnoliopsida; Brassicales; Brassicaceae. The record is from RNAcentral.